UGCAGAAUCCCGUGAACCAUCGAGUCUUUGAACGCAAGUUGCGUCCGAAGCCAUUAGGCCGAGGGCACGUCUGCCUGGGCGUCA
This 84-nucleotide ribosomal RNA is filed under the name Dracocephalum heterophyllum. RNAcentral's name for it is "partial 5.8S ribosomal RNA". It matches the Rfam family "5.8S ribosomal RNA", at positions 73 to 154 of the family's 154-position model. Rfam says of the family: 5.8S ribosomal RNA (5.8S rRNA) is a component of the large subunit of the eukaryotic ribosome. It is transcribed by RNA polymerase I as part of the 45S precursor that also contains 18S and 28S rRNA. Lineage: Eukaryota; Viridiplantae; Streptophyta; Magnoliopsida; Lamiales; Lamiaceae. The record is from RNAcentral.